RNAcentral lists this long non-coding RNA (550 nucleotides) under Capsicum annuum. RNAcentral's name for it is "long non-coding RNA (CANN_LNC005544)". The record is from RNAcentral. Lineage: Eukaryota; Viridiplantae; Streptophyta; Magnoliopsida; Solanales; Solanaceae.
CAUUUUUCCGAACAAUUUUCCGAUAGCCACAUCAACACUAAAAAGCAGGAGCUCCGUAAAGGGAUAUCUUCAAAUCAUCGAUGUUGAUGAUUUUUUUAUCAUAGCACUGCUAAAAUUAAUUAAAAUGACUUUUCCGAUCUGUGAGAACAAACCCACCAACCAUCAAGUUGAUGAACCUUACUGUUAUUAAUGGAGAAAAAAUCAUAACAAAGUGCAAACAUCAAUUGAAUUUUUUGAUGUCAACAUUAUUAAAUCAAAAUUAACAUUUGUUUCUCCCCGCACCUUCAUCCUAGAUAGCUUCUUCAAUUUUUUUUAAAAAUCGAAAUGGAACUUAGAUCUCUUUCUUCGUUGUCUUCUUCACUUUUGUGUUCGUUGUUGGGGAAGUUAAAGAGGUCAAGGCGAUUCGAGAAUGAGUUAUGAAAGGCAAUGAUUAAAGAGAAUUUGGUAAAAGAAAAGAGAAUGGAAUGGAAAAGGAAAGAAAAAACAUAAUAAAUAAAAAAAUGGUCUAUUACAGUUGUUGGACCAAAAUGGCUUUUGAGAUUGAAGAAAG